Long non-coding RNA from Pungitius pungitius (ninespine stickleback), 1450 nucleotides. RefSeq lists it as uncharacterized. The transcript is spliced from 3 exons. The record is from RefSeq and is a predicted model, not a curated record. NCBI's taxonomy places the organism in Eukaryota, Metazoa, Chordata, Actinopteri, Perciformes, Gasterosteidae.
UCCGAGACAGGAUUGCGCUCUGCUCUUAAACCGAUUGGGAAUAUGUGCAGAAAGAGAAGGACGACAUGUCAUGACGUAUUCACCAUUGACAGAACAUGCUGCUGCACAGACAAAAGACAAGGUGUUGAUUUUGCUUCCUGACAAACACGCAUCCGUUUUCACUCCCCGCUCCACUCCGCCCAAAAAGAUGCGCAAGUCGCGGCGGAUCGACGUCUCGUGGACCAGUUUUAUCUUCCCUCUGAAACAGACAACGCGCCGGAGGCCCCCGAAGGUAUCGUCCUGGAGCCGUGUUGGGGGGGGGUACAGGAUGUGUGUUUGACAUAGCGUAUCCGCACACCCGGCUAAACAGUCGCUGCAGAGGAAUAAUUGCCUCUUUUGCAGAUGACAGGAACAUUAAAGGCCGCACGGCACUCCCUGGUAUUUCAAUACGACUGCCGGUGUAAAUAGGAGGCGAUGGCUGGUGAUCCACAGUCACGUCAGGCUCCGUCUCAGUGGAACCAAAGGUCACGCAGCUUUGGGAGAAUUGUUCAUCACAUUGUUCAUCGCCUGUCGCGUUGUUGUUGUUGUUUCAAAGAGAGAUCGAAUUCGUUGCUUUUUAUUUGCUGAAUCCAUUUUCAUUUCACCACACGAUGAACCCCAUAAUGCACACGGCAAAGCGGCGUCACUCUGCAGAUGAGAGACGGCCCGGGUUGAGUGUUACUGCGCCGCACCAGAAGCUCCAACCAUCGAGAGGAAAUGUGUUGCGUGAUGGCUUUACUUUACCAAAGUUCAACCCUUAACCCGUCCGUCUGAGAGUCGCUCAAUUCAGUUCAAUUGAUCUGAUAAAAAAUAUAUAUAUAUUUUUUUUUUUGCAUGGUGAGUAGAUUUUCCUUUAGUGUAUCACAGGUUGGAAUAUGUUUAAUAUCCAUAGCAAUAUUUGAGUGAAUGAGGUAUGAGAUGUAAAAAUGUCCAUCAUUCUCUGAGAAGACACUGGUGGAUGUCAAGUUGCCUGCCAAUGCAUGUCUAGAGGAUGUGGAGACCUUUAUUGAUGUUCGCUUCAUAGGCCUCAUCUCACCUGUCACCAUAUUGCUUUCAUUACACACACACACACACACACACACACUCUCACCACUUUGGGAAUUGUUGUGCUUAUCUACACAGCCAUAUUUCAGAUUUUCAUAUUACGAGGUUUCACUGAAAUGCCUGUCGGUAAACUCCAGUAUGUACUUUUGAUAAAUGUAUGUUUGUAGAUCAAAGCCCAUGAACAGUAUUGGGAUUUACUUUUUUUUUUAUAUUUUCACAUUGUUGUGUAGAUAAGGGGUACCAAUAAAAUGUGUUCCGGGUUGGAACAAAAGCAUGAAAGACAAGAUGUUGAUUAAGUAACAAGUAAGAUAAAUAACAUUUUAGGAUUAACAGUUGUCUGUUUAUGAGUUACUUCAACCAUUAUUUAGCAGUUACAUAGAAUGUAAAU